RNAcentral lists this ribosomal RNA (208 nucleotides) under uncultured bacterium. RNAcentral's name for it is "partial 16S ribosomal RNA". It matches the Rfam family "Bacterial small subunit ribosomal RNA", at positions 567 to 774 of the family's 1533-position model. The record is from RNAcentral.
GAGCGCAGGCGGUGCGGCAAGUCUGAUGUGAAAGCCCGGGGCUCAACCCCGGUACUGCAUUGGAAACUGUCGUACUAGAGUGUCGGAGGGGUAAGCGGAAUUCCUAGUGUAGCGGUGAAAUGCGUAGAUAUUAGGAGGAACACCAGUGGCGAAGGCGGCUUACUGGACGAUAACUGACGCUGAGGCUCGAAAGCGUGGGGAGCAAACA